Salvia splendens (bonfire salvia) is the source of this 117-nucleotide small nuclear RNA. RefSeq annotates it as U5 spliceosomal RNA. The transcript has a single exon. NCBI's taxonomy places the organism in Eukaryota, Viridiplantae, Streptophyta, Magnoliopsida, Lamiales, Lamiaceae. The record is from RefSeq and is a predicted model, not a curated record.
AGCUGCGCGUCGAGCACAUUGCGAACUAUUCUUUCGCCUUUUACUAAAGAAUACCGUGUGCUCGUCGCAAUUCAAGCAGCAUAUGCCAUGGAGUGUGUUUUGUUUAUAAUAAUAAAA